Molecule: transfer RNA, 76 nt
Filed under: Escherichia coli
Lineage: Bacteria; Pseudomonadati; Pseudomonadota; Gammaproteobacteria; Enterobacterales; Enterobacteriaceae
Also listed under: 5 other names
Description: tRNA-Asn
Rfam family: tRNA
About the family: Transfer RNA (tRNA) molecules are approximately 80 nucleotides in length.
Source: RNAcentral
UCCUCUGUAGUUCAGUCGGUAGAACGGCGGAAUGUUAAUCCGUAUGUCACUGGUUCGAGUCCAGUCAGAGGAGCCA